UUUCAAACCGCGGCUGGCUUGACCGCAGUCCCUGUUCAGCGCUGCAUGACUUCUCUGUUGUUCAUUCUGUGCCGCUGUAUGCCUCCUCUCUUGUCAGUGUGAAACUUCUUUGAAACAAACUUUAUUGUAUGAAUCGUCAUAUGAAUAAAGCAUCUCGGCAGUGUGAUGUGUGCGGGUGCCUCACUUCUUGUGCUUAUCGUGUGUGACAGCACGUUGACAGCAGGGGGAAGGAAAAGAAAACAGAACCGUGUGGGUUUGUGCUUGCCACUGGAUGUCAAAGAAAUGACAUACAGAAGCUCAGAGGGAAUUAUAAAAGCCAUGAUAAAAAUCAAAUAUAAGUGGAGAGAUAAAAUGCUUUAGAUGGCUUGUGAGGACAGGAAUGUUGAUAUUAAGAAACAACAGAGUAGAAUUGCCUUGUAUCUAAAUGGAUCGACUUGUCUCUAAAUAUAAUGACCAGAGAUAUUUUGUUGAAGUGAAAGUUCAUCUAAAAACUUCCAUGGCGCUCCAAACCCAUAUAACUUACUUCCUUGUUUAGAACACAAAAACACUUAGCAGAAUGUCCAAGAUGUUGUUUAUCCUAUGAAAAUGGAUGGACUUUGGAGUGUAACUGAUGACAGAAUUAACAUAAAAUCUCUGUGAUG
Carassius auratus (goldfish) is the source of this 641-nucleotide long non-coding RNA. RefSeq lists it as uncharacterized. The transcript is spliced from 3 exons. NCBI's taxonomy places the organism in Eukaryota, Metazoa, Chordata, Actinopteri, Cypriniformes, Cyprinidae. The record is from RefSeq and is a predicted model, not a curated record.